ACGUAGGGUGCGAGCGUUAAUCGGAAUUAUUGGGCGUAAAGGGUGCGUAGGCGGAUAUAUAAGUUAGAUGUGAAAAGCCAGGGCUUAACCUUGGUCGUGCAUUUAAGACUGUAUGUCUAGAGUUUGUAAGAGGGGGGUAGAAUUCCAAGUGUAGCAGUGAAAUGCGUAGAGAUUUGGAGGAAUACCGAUGGCGAAGGCAGCCCCCUGGUAUAGAACUGACGCUGAGGCACGAAAGCGUGGGUAGCAAACAGGAUUAGAUACCCUGGUAGUCCACGCCCUAAACGAUGUUUACUUGCUGUUGGGAGCAAUCUUAGUAGCGAAGCUAACGCGAGAAGUAAACCGCCUGGGGAGUACGGUCGCAAGAUUA
Molecule: ribosomal RNA, 367 nt
Filed under: uncultured bacterium
Lineage: Bacteria
Description: bacterial SSU rRNA
Rfam family: Bacterial small subunit ribosomal RNA
Source: RNAcentral